GGGGAUGUAGCUCAGUGGUAGAGCGCAUGCUUAGCAUGCAUGAGGUCCCGGGUUCGAUCCCCAGCAUCUCCA
Molecule: transfer RNA, 72 nt
Organism: Felis catus (domestic cat)
Lineage: Eukaryota; Metazoa; Chordata; Mammalia; Carnivora; Felidae
Rfam family: tRNA
About the family: Transfer RNA (tRNA) molecules are approximately 80 nucleotides in length. Their secondary structure includes four short double-helical elements and three loops (D, anti-codon, and T loops). Further hydrogen bonds mediate the characteristic L-shaped molecular structure. tRNAs have two regions of fundamental functional importance: the anti-codon, which is responsible for specific mRNA codon recognition, and the 3' end, to which the tRNAs corresponding amino acid is attached (by aminoacyl-tRNA synthetases). tRNAs cope with the degeneracy of the genetic code in two manners: having more than one tRNA (with a specific anti-codon) for a particular amino acid; and 'wobble' base-pairing, i.e. permitting non-standard base-pairing at the 3rd anti-codon position.
Source: Rfam